This 426-nucleotide ribosomal RNA is filed under the name uncultured eukaryote. RNAcentral describes it as "eukaryotic LSU rRNA". It matches the Rfam family "Eukaryotic large subunit ribosomal RNA", at positions 1608 to 2019 of the family's 3401-position model. The record is from RNAcentral.
GGUUAAUAUUCCCGAACUCGGACGUGGAUAUCGGUGCUUGCACCAGAUGCGGUAACGCAAACGAACCCGGAGACGCUGGCAGAAGCCCUGGGAAGAGUUCUCUCUUCUUUGUUAGGGACGAAUUCCGUGGAAUCGCUUCGCGCGGAGAUACGGAUGAUGUUCCCGUAAAAGCAUCGCGGUUUUGCGGUGUCCGGUGCGCUUCUUCUGGCCCUUGAAAAUCCGGGUAAGAGAUUGAUUUUCACGCCGAAUCGUACCCAUAUCCGCAGCAGGUCUCCAAGGUGAACAGCCUCUAGUCUUUGAACAAUGUAGGACAAGGGAAGUCGGCAAAUUAGAAUCCGUAACUUCGGAAAAGGAUUGGCUCUAAGGGCUGGGCCGUUCGAGCUCCGGUUAGAAGCGAUGGUCGAUGCGUAGGAACUGGGUAAACUG